UACAGAGGCCUCGAGCGUUAGGCGGAAUCACUGGGCGUAAAGCGUGCGUAGACGGUUUCGUAAGUCGGGUGUGAAAGCCCCGGGCUCAACCUGGGAAUUGCAUUCGAGACUGCGUAGCUAGGGUGCGGAAGAGGGAAGCGGAAUUUCCGGUGUAGCGGUGAAAUGCGUAGAUAUCGGAAGGAACAUCAGUGGCGAAAGCGGCUUCCUGGUCCAGCACCGACGUUCAGGCACGAAAGCGUGGGGAGCAAACAGG
RNAcentral lists this ribosomal RNA (253 nucleotides) under uncultured bacterium. RNAcentral's name for it is "partial 16S ribosomal RNA". It matches the Rfam family "Bacterial small subunit ribosomal RNA", at positions 524 to 776 of the family's 1533-position model. The record is from RNAcentral.